UCACUCCAUUCAAGAAUCCCAAGUAUUCAAGAUGGACGGCAGGGAGUGUGGAAGGAGAAAGGGGGCGCGGGGGGAAGAACCCGAUCUCUAGAGGAGCGGAGCGCCGCGGCCAGCCCAUCCCGGAGCCCCGGUCCCGGCCGGCGGGUGGAGGGGCAGCUGGCGGGGGCUCGAGUCCGGCGGGGACGGAGAGAGGCUGGCGGGGUACGAGAGGGCGUGAGAAGGGGAGCGAGGCCAGGAAGGGGAGCCAAAAGGGAGGGAAAGGCAGAGAAAGAGCCCGGGAAGAAGGAGGUGGCGGGCAGAGGAACCUAAGAAGAGCGAUGUGCUGGGCCCCAUCCCUGCUGCUCUGGCGGGCAGGGGCCGGAAGAUGGUGGCCAAUGAGGAGGGGGAGUGGAGAGAACUUGAGCCAGGGCCUCCCCUCCCCCAUUUCCUCCUCUGUUUCUACACCCGCUUCUGGAAGGAGCUGGGGGGGUGGUUCCUAGGCCCAAGGUGGGGGAGGGGUCCUGCUGGCUGUUGUAUUGCUGGUCUCCCCUCUCAGGAAUGAGUUGGGCACGUGAGCUCCUAGGGACUCAGUAUCCCAGCUGCCUCUCCCCUCACUCCUUUAAGGAAAGAUCUGGAGACUCCUUGAUGAAGAAUCUUUGGCUGCCCUGAAGCUUACUGGACUCUCCUUCAGCAGUUUUGAGCUUGCUCUGGUGCGGGAAAUGCAACCAAGAGACAGAAUUGAGUCUCUACUCAUGUUUAAGGACAGAAGAUAAUUGGUAUCAGUGAAACCGCACAAUGGGUCAGACAAGCUUUCUUUGGCCCCAACACUCAGAUGUUUCUGGCUUGUGUUUGCCCAGUUCUUUGUCCUGCCCACGGUCUCUCCAGUCUGAUGUUAACAGUAUUUAAGAUAGUAUAGGUAACUCUGAAUCCAUGAGUUCAAGCUGUUAAAGUUAUGAGUCUUCCUGGGCAUAGUGGUACAUGCCCUUAAUACCAGCACUUGGGAGGCAGGUAAAACCAAGUGAGCCAGAGACUAGCUCUAAAAAGGAAAUUCCAGGCAAGCCAGAGCUACAUAGUGAGACCAUUUGCCUGUGGGCCCUUCCCCCAAACAACAGCUUCUUGUCUGGCACAAAACAAACAGCUAUUUGGCAGUAUCUACUUUUUAAGUUUUUGGGGUAUGGAUGUGGCUCGGUAGAGAGAGAGCUUGUCAGGCAUUCACAACAUAAAGCCAGAUAUGGUAAAGCAAACUUGUAAUCCCAACACUAUCAAGGUGGAGGCAGGAGGAUCCCAUGUUCAAAGUCACAUAGCAAGUUAGAAGGCCAGCCUAGACUAUAGAAGACAGUCAUUUGUCCAUGCUUCUGUGGUGUCCUUGAUCAGCCUGUGGACCGUGAGCCCCUUGGCAAACCUAUCUUCAAAAAAUAACAUUAUCGUUCAUAACAGCAAAAUUACAAUUAUGAAGCAACAAAAGUAAUGGUCGGGGUCACCACAACAUGAACCGCAUUAAGACAUUGAGAACCACUGUUACAAGGUUGCGAUUCUCCCAUUUUGAACUUUUAUGUACUCUUACACUUCUAGCCACGUAGAAACACAGUUUCCUCAGAGUAGCUAAGUGUGUGCCACGUCACAUGGUUCUGUAUGAAUCUACGGCGAAGCCAUCCCUGACCCUUCAAAUCUAGGUGAAGUUCCUCCUCAGCUUCCCCUGUACUACAGUCCUUAUCUUCUGUUGAGGUCACCUAGCUUCCUUCUAACCACUGAGCAGGAAAAAAAAAAAAAACAAGUUGUCAGGCCAUGGCUAGCUUCCUUGUGCAACCCUGGAGAUCAACACAAUGCCUGGCAAGUAAAACGUACCUAUAAGUAUUUGCAAUGCCCAUGAGAUGAUCUGGAAAUAAGGAUGUAACUUAAGAGAUUUUUACCGCACAUAUAUGGUCUUCCCCUGUGGGGGCUGAGCGCCUCCAAAUCAACAUUUCACUUCAGUGCACGCCAACCACGUUCCUUAGAUCACACUUCUGUGUUUAUGCUAUAGUUUUGAGCUAUAUCCGACUCCUGUUACACUACCAGCCGAGUCUCAGCCCAUAGAUUUUCAUUUUAGCCUCAAGGGUAUCCAUGAGUUGAUUAAAACAUUCUAGGACUAGGCAUAACAAAACAAGAAGAUGCAAGAAACUGGAACCCACCAAGUUGUGGAAUAAGUUUGCACUAGCUGCUUAUCCUGAGUCCAGAUUAAAAAGUAGCCUCCUUAGGGGGAAGUCUUGGGAUCCGGAAACAGGUGCUACCCAUGGACAAGCUCACCAAAACCAUGCCUCAUAAUUCCCUGCUUGUGAA
This is a long non-coding RNA of Alexandromys fortis (reed vole), 2295 nucleotides long. RefSeq lists it as uncharacterized. The record is from RefSeq and is a predicted model, not a curated record. NCBI's taxonomy places the organism in Eukaryota, Metazoa, Chordata, Mammalia, Rodentia, Cricetidae. The transcript has 3 exons.